GACGAACGCUGGCGGCGUGCCUAAUACAUGCAAGUUGAGCGAUGAAGAUUGGUGCUUGCACCAAUUUGAAGAGCAGCGAACGGGUGAGUAACGCGUGGGGAAUCUGCCUUUGAGCGGGGGACAACAUUUGGAAACGAAUGCUAAUACCGCAUAAUAACUUUAAACAUAAGUUUUAAGUUUGAAAGAUGCAAUUGCAUCACUCAAAGAUGAUCCCGCGUUGUAUUAGCUAGUUGGUGAGGUAAAGGCUCACCAAGGCGAUGAUACAUAGCCGACCUGAGAGGGUGAUCGGCCACAGUGGGACUGAGACACGGCCCAAACUCCUACGGGAGGCAGCAGUAGGGAAUCUUCGGCAAUGGACGAAAGUCUGACCGAGCAACGCCGCGUGAGUGAAGAAGGUUGUCGGAUCGUAAAACUCUGUUGGUAGAGAAGAACGUUGGUGAGAGUGGAAAGCUCAUCAAGUGACGGUAACUACCCAGAAAGGGACGGCUAACUACGUG
RNAcentral lists this ribosomal RNA (497 nucleotides) under uncultured bacterium. Its description in RNAcentral is "partial 16S ribosomal RNA". It matches the Rfam family "Bacterial small subunit ribosomal RNA", at positions 28 to 507 of the family's 1533-position model. The record is from RNAcentral.